Leptonychotes weddellii (Weddell seal) is the source of this 1042-nucleotide non-coding RNA. NCBI's taxonomy places the organism in Eukaryota, Metazoa, Chordata, Mammalia, Carnivora, Phocidae. The record is from RefSeq and is a predicted model, not a curated record.
AUGGUGGUGGUGAUGAAGGCUCUGUGGAAACAUCAGUUUGCGUGGCCCUCCAGGCAGCCUGUGGAUGCCGUCAAACUGGGUCUGCCGGAUUAUCACAAGAUUAUAAAACAGCCUAUGGACAUGGGUACUAUUAAGAGGAGACUUGAAAACAACUAUUAUUGGGCUGCCUCAGAGUGUAUGCAGGAUUUCAACACUAUGUUUACCAAUUGUUAUAUCUACAACAAGCCCACUGAUGAUAUUGUCCUAAUGGCACAAACGUUGGAAAAGAUCUUCCUACAGAAAGUGGCAUCAAUGCCACAAGAGGAACAAGAGCUUGUGGUGACCAUCCCUAAGAAUAGCCACAAGAAGGGGGCCAAAUUGGCAGCACUCCAGGGCAGCAUCACCAGUGCCCAUCAGGUGCCUGCAGUUUCUUCUGUCUCAUACAGCCCUGUAUACUCCACCACCUGAGAUACCUACCACUGUCCUCAACAUUCCCCACCCGUCAGUCAUCUCUUCUCCCCUUCUCAAGUCCUUACGCUCUGCUGGACCCCCGCUCCUUGCUGUGUCUGCAGCUCCCCCAGCCCAGCCCCUUACGAAGAAAAAAGGCGUAAAGCGGAAAGCAGAUACUACCACACCUACCCCUAUGGCCAUCCUGGCUCCCGGUUCUGCAGCUAGCCCCCCGGGAGUCUUGAGCCCAAGGCAGCACGUCUUCCCCCUAUGCGUAGAGAGAGUGGCCGCCCAAUCAAGCCCCCACGCAAAGACUUGCCUGACUCUCAGCAACAACACCAGAGCUCCAAGAAAGGAAAGUUGUCAGAACAGUUAAAACAUUGCAAUGGCAUUUUGAAAGAGUUGCUCUCUAAGAAGCAUGCUGCCUAUGCCUGGCCUUUUUAUAAACCAGUGGACGCUUCUGCUCUUGGCCUGCAUGACUACCAUGACAUCAUUAAGCACCCCAUGGACCUCAGCACUGUCAAGGUACCCACUGCAUGGGGCAGAUGGGAUGCUCAGGCAGUGAUUGGAACUUUGGGUUCAAUAAAACGGAUCAGUCACUUUAAAAAAAAAAAAA